Molecule: long non-coding RNA, 4838 nt
Organism: Homo sapiens (human)
Lineage: Eukaryota; Metazoa; Chordata; Mammalia; Primates; Hominidae
Gene: METTL14-DT
Product: METTL14 divergent transcript
Source: Ensembl
AAGGGAUCUGUUGCGCCACAGGGGUCUCCAGGGCCCUCGCAGGUUGGGGUGGUCUGAGCUAGUCUGAAGGAGGACAGUCAGCUGACUUCUCCUUUAUCUCUCUUUCCCAGGAUAGCAGGUUCCCUUGGUGUAUUACAGUUUCUGAAGUGUUGAUUCCCUUUUCAAUUGAUUCCACAGAUGACAGUCCUGACGUUUAAAAAAUUGCCAGAUAACCUUUAAUUUUUUUUUUUUUAACAGAACACAAACUUAAGCCAGAUUGCCUAGGAUUGAACCUUGGCCUCUCACUUCCUAGACGAGUGGCCUUGGCUAGUUAACCACCUUCGUGAGCCUCAGUUUUGUCAUCUGUAAAAUGGGAGUCAUAAGUGUCUACCUCACAGAGCUGUGAUUGAAAGGAUAAAUAGCACCUUGCACAUAGCGGUGUAGAAGUGCUUGUUAUUGUUAAUAUUUUAUUUACCUUCACGCAGGUAACAGCCACAACAUCUGCCCACUCUUCCCCACACCUUACUGUCCCUUGAAAUGUUUCCCAUUUUACUAUAGUAUGCAUUUUUUGGCUUCUUCCCUUUAGGGAAAUGAGUAUGUGAUAGUAAAGCGUGUCUUGGUUUAUGUCCUAGGAGUCAGAAGCUAAGAGACUCCUUUUUGUGCUUGUACAUUUGUCUUAACUGAAAAUAACCCAAGGAUAAGGAAACAAAUAGCUUCCUGAAAUUACUCGGAUUGCGGGGGUGAGGGGUGAGGGCUGGGGGGUGGUGAUUCUGUCUUCAUAGGAUGGCAGCAAAGGCCAAAGUCUUAUUUGAGUUAUUACCAUUAUUAUUCACCACACUUGCCAUCUUAUUUCAAGCCUACAGUGGCGGAAGUGGAGUAAGACAUCAUGUUGCCUCAAGUUUAAUUGGAAAUCGCGUGCCUUGUGAAGAAUGGACACUCAGUAGAUGCUUAUUGAUGAACCUGUUGGUUGAGGAUAACUCGCUAACUUUUCUGAGCUUUGUUGGAAAAACUGUGAGUACCUAUGUUGGGUAGAAAUUGGAAGACAGCCCCUAGCAUUUUACAUCAUCCUUGGAGCUUUAUUUAUAGUCAUUAAAUGCAGAAGACUCCCCAGUUCAUGAAUUUAUUGUGCUCAACAGGACAACUGCUGAGGUCUAGUGCAUGUGUGGCACAAGAAAAUGUUUAUCAAGCCUCAUAUGUCAAAUUAACGAACUACAUAAGAAACAGAAAUGAAGAUUGUUUUCUCAUCACUUGUCAAUACAUUUUUAAAGGAUACUGCGAUUACAUAGAAAUAAUUUUAUUUUAUUUAUUUAUUUAUUUUGAGACGGAGUUUCGCUGUUGUCGCCCAGGCUGGAGUGCAAUGGCACGAUAUCGGCUCACUGCAACCUCCGCCUCCCAGGUUCAAGCAAUUCUCCUGCCUCAGCCUCCCAAGUAGCUGGAAUUACAGGCACCAGCCACCACGCCUGGCUAAUUUUUAUAUUUUUAGUAGAGAUGGGGUUUCACCACGUUGGCUAGGCUGGUCUCAAACUCCUGACCUCAGGUGAUCUGCCCGCCUCAGCCUCCCAAAGUGCUGGGAUUAUAGGUGUGAGCCACCGCACCCAGCCAUGUAAAAAUAAUUUUAAAGGCUUGAUUUUCUGGAACGUAAAGUAAGAAGAGGUAUAUUUCACAGCCUGUAUAUCAAUGUCAAAUGGAAAUGUGGAGAAUUGAAUUGGAUUGAAUUAUUUUGGGAAUUUGCACCAAACAUCCCUGUUGGUUUCUUCAAAAUGACAAAAACUGUAAGGAAAGUGAGAAAUGACAAGGUAAAUAGAAUAAGAUAAUACAAAAAUGUUACAAGUAAUGUCAAUACAUUUAACUGCAUACAUGAGAAAAUAUUUAAAGGUUGAUUAGUGUAACAUGAGUUUGCUCUAUUAAUUGAGAAAGUUCAGUUCUGUAGUAGAGCACAGAAUGAGGUGGAUUAAUCCCAUAGGAUGUGCUAAGCACAGAUAAUGAGUAAGCGAGUAGCUUGUGAGACAUAGGUAGAAUUCAUAAUAUACUAAAUAUAGACUGAUAUAUGUACUAUAUUAUUAUAUUUACCAUAUUACUGUAUUAUUGUAUUUAUUAUAUUUACUAUAUUAAAUAUAUUUACUAUAUUACUAUAUUAUUUAUAGAUGGAAAGGGAUGGAAAGAACCAGCCACUUAUACCAGCCACUUAUGGUCCUACUCUGGGCCCACAUGUGCUCUACCUAAGAAAUCCUUAUAGUACCCAUAGCUUUUUGCAGGCUGAUUGACAAGUUAUGGCUGUGGCCAGGCGUACUUGUCACUGUCUCUCUUUAAUAGAGCAAGUGUGUAUCAUUGGCCCCAAGCACCUUCUGUCUGUUGACCUGGCUCAAACUUCAAUCUGACCAUCAGUGAAGAAGGCUGAUGCCGCAGAUGGAGAGAGACACAGGAUGUAUGAAUGUAGCAUAACUCAGGAUUCACCUCGUGUGGUCCUUCCCACUUGAACCCUAUCCUAAGUGUGAAAGUUACCCCAUCGCUUUCCUCUUGCUUCAGAUUAUGUGCUUUAAAGUGAUUUAAUAAACUAUGCGAUUCAAACAUCUUAAUUUGAUCUUUGAGCCUGUUUUGUGACUUCCGGGAUAGCUUGCCUUGUAGUGUACUUGUAGGUCACCAUUGCAUCAAGGUAAUUUCUCAUGACAACUACAAAAAACUUAGAAAAUAAGAACAUAGCAUUGUAUAGCAUAAAGGAAAGCAAUCUGAAGAGGAGAAAGACAGGUAGUCACAAAUUGUGUCAUUAAUAGACUGAAAGACCAAAAAAGUAAAGGACAAACCAAAAGACAGUGUGGAGAAGAUUUUUUUCUAAAUUGAUUUAUAGAAAAAGGAAUGAGACAAGAAAGAAAGACAUGGUUUGGGCAAUGUAUAAAUGUCAUUGAUCCCAAUUCUACUUUAUUUCUGAGACCAAAAUAACAGUUUCAGAGGUGACUACCACAAGGUCCAACAAGUGGACUCAUCCCUGAAUUUCUUCCUCCUCCUCCUUCUUUCUUCUUCCUCCUCCUCCUCUUCUUUCUUUCCUUCUUUCCUUUCCUCUUUCUCUCUCUUUCUUUUUCUUUCUUUCUUCCUUUCUUUCUCUCUCUCUUUCUCUCUAUUUCUUUCUUUCUGUGUCUCUCUCUUUCUUUUUCUUUUUUUCUUUCCUUUUCUUUCUUCUUUUUUUUUUUCCUCAAAAAGAAUCUCUUGCUCUGCUGCCCAGGCUGGAGUACAGUGGUGUGAUCACAGCUCACUAUAAUCUCAAACUCCUGGGCUCAAGUAAUCCUCUCACUUCAGCCUCCCAAGUAGCUAGGACAACAGGUGCACAUCACCACACCCAGCUAAUUUUUUAUUUUAUUUUUUCUAGAGACAGGGGUCUCACUAUGUGAUGCAGGAUGAUCUCAAACUCCCUGGCCUCAAGCGAUCCUCCUGCCUUGGUCUCCUAAAGUGCUGGGAUUACAGCAGGUCACUGUAUCUCUAUGCAUUACAGAAAAUGGCUAGUUAAAAACUUGUCAAGGCCAGUUGCAGGCAUGAUACCAGCAGUCUGGGAGGUAGAGACAAGAGGACACAUCUCUGCUGCUCCCUUCUUUCCCCAUGGUUAUGCGCCAACUUUGGUUUCACCAGGCCUACAGUGCUUCCCAGGUUUGGAGUGUGGGGAAGGAGAAGAUUUAAUGGAAGCAGCUUAAGGGAAAUGCUCAAACUAAACUGAUACUUUCUUCAUGAUCUAGCAUUGAAACUUUCUGGACUUGACAGAUAUUUAAAAUUAACUCUUUUUCUCAUUAACAUUUUCAUGGGUUCUUCCAAGAUCCACAUUACCCAACCUGUGGGUUCCCAUGACAAGGAUUAAGGCAUCUCUGUUUCUUCUGGACCUUUAUUUACCUGGAUUCUUUCUCUAGGGACUGUUUACCCUUAUGGGCCAUCCUUUUGAGCAUAACCUAACAAGAUUCAUGCUGGCUUUAAGUGAGUGGUCCACAUUUGGUUCAUGGGAAAACCACAUAGUUUGUCCCCAGCAAACCUGGAAGUAAUAUUUAUUUUACUGCUGGAAUUAAGGAAAACCAAAAAUCCUAUUACAAAAUGGCUCCUCUAAACAUUCACAUUACCCCUUUUUGUCUCUACCCCCUGAGGAACUAACCAACUCUAGCUCUUUGGAUUUUCCAAAUGAGAGGUCAACACAUCGAUGUCUCCAAGACCUUAAGUUCUUCUAGUGGUCUCUUUAAGCUUCCUCCCUUGAAUUAUGGUGAAAAGGGACUGCCUGCUACCCCCUCCUCUUGAGGAGAGGGGUGGUAUCACAGCCUAACAAUAAUUUCCAAAAAUUUUCUCCUCCAGCUCUAAUGCUUAACCAGUUUAGACUUUCAAAGUGGAUAAUGUAAUUUAAAGCCUUACAGCUAGUUAUGCUCUACUUCUUCUAUAAGUCCUGCAACCAGGUGGUCUCAAUCCUCACUUGCGAAUACUGCAUUUACUCACCUUGUGCCCUAGCCAAAACUUCCACAACAAAUUCUGUGGUGCAUUUAAGUGAAAGAUGUUAUUUGAUUGAUAGAGAGAUAGAUAGAUAGAUACAGAUAUAGAUAUAGAUAUGUAUUAGAACCAUGUCAAAUGGUUAACUUUUUUAAAAAGGUAAAUUUUUUAUAUUGAGAUAAUUAUAGAUUCUCAUACACUCGUAAGAAAUAACACAGAAAGAUCCCAUGUAGCCUUUAUCCAGUUUCCCCAGUGAUAAUAUCUUGCAAAACUAUAGUCCAAUAUCACAACCAAGAUACUGGCAUUGAUAGAUCACUUCCAUCACCACAAACAUCCCUCAUGUUGCCCUUUUAUAGCCACACUCAUUUCCCUCCUGCUGCCACCCUCUCCUUUACCCAUAACCACUUAUC